Non-coding RNA from Saccharomyces cerevisiae AWRI796, 162 nucleotides. The record is from Rfam. NCBI's taxonomy places the organism in Eukaryota, Fungi, Ascomycota, Saccharomycetes, Saccharomycetales, Saccharomycetaceae.
UAAAUAUACAACACCCAGUAUUUUUUGGCUGCCCGUGUCUUUCUCUACCACGGGUAGUCUCUCUAAGCUGGCAGAUAGAUGUUUAUUGAACCGCUUAAGUUCCGUUGUGAAGUUUUCGUCUUUCAGGCUGUAUUUCAUAACACUACUGUAGUUCACACAUAC